RNAcentral lists this ribosomal RNA (256 nucleotides) under uncultured bacterium. RNAcentral's name for it is "partial 16S ribosomal RNA". It matches the Rfam family "Bacterial small subunit ribosomal RNA", at positions 29 to 300 of the family's 1533-position model. The record is from RNAcentral.
AGCGAACGCUGGCGGCAGGCCUAACACAUGCAAGUCGAACGCACCUUCGGGUGAGUGGCGGACGGGUGAGUAACACGUGGGAACGUACCUUUAGGUUCGGAAUAACGCAGGGAAACUUGCGCUAAUACCGAAUGUGCCCCCUCCUUUGACUAGGGGGUGGGAAAGAUUUAUCGCCUUUAGAGCGGCCCGCGUUAGAUUAGCUAGUUGGUGGGGUAAUGGCCCACCAAGGCUACGAUCUAUAGCUGGUCNGAGAGGA